CUACGAGUUGCUGCAGUGGGGAAUAUUGCACAAUGGGGGAAACCCUGAUGCAGCAACGCCGCGUGGAGGAUGACGCAUUUCGGUGUGUAAACUCCUUUUAUAUAGGAAGAUAAUGACGGUACUAUAUGAAUAAGCACCGGCUAACUCCGUGCCAGCAGCCGCGGUAAUACGGAGGGUGCAAGCGUUACUCGGAAUCACUGGGCGUAAAGCGCGCGCAGGCGGCCCCUUAAGUUGGAUGUGAAAGCCUACGGCUUAACCGUAGAACUGCAUCCAAAACUGAGGGGCUAGAGUCUGGGAGGGGAAGAUGGAAUUAGUUGUGUAGGGGUAAAAUCCGUAGAGAUAACUAGGAAUACCAAAAGCGAAGGCGAUCUUCUGGAACAGUACUGACGCUGAGGCGCGAAAGCGUGGGGAGCAAACAGGAUUAGAUACCCGUGUAGUC
This 439-nucleotide ribosomal RNA is filed under the name uncultured bacterium. RNAcentral describes it as "partial 16S ribosomal RNA". It matches the Rfam family "Bacterial small subunit ribosomal RNA", at positions 339 to 795 of the family's 1533-position model. The record is from RNAcentral.